UACGUAGGGUGCGAGCGUUAAUCGGAAUUACUGGGCGUAAAGCGCUCGCAGGCGGCCCGAUGCGUCGUGCGUGAAACACCCCGGCUCAACUGGGGAGGGUCGUGCGAUACGGUCGGGCUUGAGGCCAGUAGGGGGAUGCGGAAUUCCAGGUGUAGCGGUGAAAUGCGUAGAUAUCUGGAGGAAUACCGGUGGCGAAGGCGGCAUCCUGGACAGUUCCUGACACUGAGGCACGAAGGCCAGGGGAGCAAACGGG
RNAcentral lists this ribosomal RNA (253 nucleotides) under uncultured bacterium. RNAcentral's name for it is "partial 16S ribosomal RNA". It matches the Rfam family "Bacterial small subunit ribosomal RNA", at positions 524 to 776 of the family's 1533-position model. The record is from RNAcentral.